This 451-nucleotide ribosomal RNA is filed under the name uncultured bacterium. RNAcentral's name for it is "bacterial SSU rRNA". It matches the Rfam family "Bacterial small subunit ribosomal RNA", at positions 340 to 782 of the family's 1533-position model. The record is from RNAcentral.
UACGGGAGGCAGCAGUGGGGAAUAUUGCACAAUGGGCGCAAGCCUGAUGCAGCCAUGCCGCGUGUAUGAAGAAGGCCUUCGGGUUGUAAAGUACUUUCAGUCGUGAGGAAGGUGUUAAGGUUAAUAACCUUAGCAAUUGACGUUAGCGACAGAAGAAGCACCGGCUAACUCCGUGCCAGCAGCCGCGGUAAUACGGAGGGUGCGAGCGUUAAUCGGAAUUACUGGGCGUAAAGGGCACGCAGGCGGUUAAUUAAGUUGGAUGUGAAAUCCCCGGGCUUAACCUGGGAAUGGCAUUCAAGACUGGUUAGCUAGAGUCUUGUAGAGGGGGUAGAAUUCCAUGUGUAGCGGUGAAAUGCGUAGAGAUGUGGAGGAAUACCGGGUGGCGAAGGCGGCCCCUGGGACAAAGACUGACGCUCAUGUGCGAAAGCGUGGGGAGCAAACAGGGAUUAGA